AGGGGAGCAGUACUUUUGACAAGACGUAUCUUUAAACUUGUCAUGGAGUUGCUCUCUUGA
Molecule: microRNA precursor, 60 nt
Filed under: Scyliorhinus torazame (cloudy catshark)
Lineage: Eukaryota; Metazoa; Chordata; Chondrichthyes; Carcharhiniformes; Scyliorhinidae
Description: Sto-Mir-281_pre stem-loop
Source: RNAcentral